GCCCUGGUGGCUCAGUGGUUAAGCAUUUGGCUGCUAACCAAAAAGUUGGAAGUUCAAAUCCACAAGCCA
Molecule: transfer RNA, 69 nt
Filed under: Loxodonta africana (African savanna elephant)
Lineage: Eukaryota; Metazoa; Chordata; Mammalia; Proboscidea; Elephantidae
Rfam family: tRNA
About the family: Transfer RNA (tRNA) molecules are approximately 80 nucleotides in length. Their secondary structure includes four short double-helical elements and three loops (D, anti-codon, and T loops). Further hydrogen bonds mediate the characteristic L-shaped molecular structure. tRNAs have two regions of fundamental functional importance: the anti-codon, which is responsible for specific mRNA codon recognition, and the 3' end, to which the tRNAs corresponding amino acid is attached (by aminoacyl-tRNA synthetases). tRNAs cope with the degeneracy of the genetic code in two manners: having more than one tRNA (with a specific anti-codon) for a particular amino acid; and 'wobble' base-pairing, i.e. permitting non-standard base-pairing at the 3rd anti-codon position.
Source: Rfam by way of RNAcentral